AGCUGCCCCAGUAGCCCAGUCGUUAGGUAUGUAACCUUUCCUUGUGAGAACGUUGGUUCGACUCCGCUUGCCGACAAUUUCCUGAGAAAAGUUGCAGACCGAGCUACUGAGUUUACUCGGAGGGGGGUGGCGCAAUUUUUUUAUAAAAUUUUUUAUAU
Plasmodium falciparum NF54 is the source of this 158-nucleotide small RNA. It matches the Rfam family "Plasmodium RNA of unknown function RUF6-5". The record is from Rfam. NCBI's taxonomy places the organism in Eukaryota, Apicomplexa, Aconoidasida, Haemosporida, Plasmodiidae.